GAUGAACGCUGGCGGCGUGCCUAAUACAUGCAAGUCGAGCGAACAGACGAGGAGCUUGCUCCUCUGACGUUAGCGGCGGACGGGUGAGUAACACGUGGAUAACCUACCUAUAAGACUGGGAUAACUUCGGGAAACCGGAGCUAAUACCGGAUAACAUGUUGAACCGCAUGGUUCAACAGUGAAAGACGGUCUUGCUGUCACUUAUAGAUGGAUCCGCGCCGCAUUAGCUAGUUGGUAAGGUAACGGCUUACCAAGGCAACGAUACGUAGCCGACCUGAGAGGGUGAUCGGCCAAACUGGAACUGAGACACGGUCCAGACUCCUACGGGAGGCAGCAGUAGGGAAUCUUCCGCAAUGGGCGAAAGCCUGACGGAGCAACGCCGCGUGAGUGAAGAAGGUCUUCGGAUCGUAAAACUCUGUUAUUAGGGAAGAACAAAUGUGUAAGUAACUAUGCACGUCUUGACGGUACCUAAUCAGAAAGCCACGGCUAACUACGUG
Molecule: ribosomal RNA, 497 nt
Filed under: uncultured bacterium
Lineage: Bacteria
Description: partial 16S ribosomal RNA
Rfam family: Bacterial small subunit ribosomal RNA
Source: RNAcentral